RNAcentral lists this unclassified non-coding RNA (218 nucleotides) under Acrostalagmus luteoalbus. RNAcentral describes it as "partial contains small subunit ribosomal RNA, internal transcribed spacer 1, and 5.8S ribosomal RNA". The stretch from base 1 to 46 matches the Rfam family "Eukaryotic small subunit ribosomal RNA", at positions 1786 to 1831 of the family's 1831-position model. Lineage: Eukaryota; Fungi; Ascomycota; Sordariomycetes; Glomerellales; Plectosphaerellaceae. RNAcentral also lists the same sequence under 3 other names. The record is from RNAcentral.
AAGUCGUAACAAGGUCUCCGUUGGUGAACCAGCGGAGGGAUCAUUACCGAGUCUUUACAACUCAUAACCCUUUGUGAACCAUUAUACCUAGUUGCUUCGGCGGCGCGCCUCCGGGCGUGCCCGCCGGCCAAUUAUAGUCUCUUAGUUGUGAAUCGACGUUACAUCUGAGUGUUCUAAGCGAACUGUUAAAACUUUCAACAACGGAUCUCUUGGCUCCA